Molecule: ribosomal RNA, 425 nt
Filed under: Edwardsiella ictaluri
Lineage: Bacteria; Pseudomonadati; Pseudomonadota; Gammaproteobacteria; Enterobacterales; Hafniaceae
Description: bacterial SSU rRNA
Rfam family: Bacterial small subunit ribosomal RNA
Source: RNAcentral
GCGGUAGCAGGGAGAAAGCUUGCUUUCUCCGCUGACGAGCGGCGGAUGGGUGAGUAAUGUCUGGGGAUCUGCCUGAUGGAGGGGGAUAACUACUGGAAACGGUAGCUAAUACCGCAUAACGUCGCAAGACCAAAGUGGGGGACCUUCGGGCCUCAUGCCAUCAGAUGAACCCAGAUGGGAUUAGCUAGUAGGUGGGGUAAUGGCUCACCUAGGCGACGAUCCCUAGCUGGUCUGAGAGGAUGACCAGCCACACUGGAACUGAGACACGGUCCAGACUCCUACGGGAGGCAGCAGUGGGGAAUAUUGCACAAUGGGCGCAAGCCUGAUGCAGCCAUGCCGCGUGUAUGAAGAAGGCCUUCGGGUUGUAAAGUACUUUCAGUAGGGAGGAAGGUGUGAGCGUUAAUAGCGUUCACAAUUGACGUUAC